GCGGAGAUAGCAAAACCUGGCCAUGCAGCGGUCUGCAAAACCGCGGAUCGGAGUUCAAAUCUCCGUCUCCGCUCCA
This 76-nucleotide transfer RNA is filed under the name Candidatus Heimdallarchaeota archaeon. RNAcentral's name for it is "tRNA-Cys". It matches the Rfam family "tRNA". From Rfam's summary of the family: Transfer RNA (tRNA) molecules are approximately 80 nucleotides in length. Their secondary structure includes four short double-helical elements and three loops (D, anti-codon, and T loops). The record is from RNAcentral. Lineage: Archaea; Promethearchaeati; Candidatus Heimdallarchaeota.